UUGAUAAUAUCAAAGGUGAAAUAAUGUAUUACUCAAGCCAUUGCAUGCAAUAAUCAAUUAUUUGAAAGACAUCAAGAAAAAGACUUGGCUAGAGAUGAUCAAUAUAAAUAAAGACAAUAGCUCUUAAGUUUUCAAAAAUUUAUUCAUCAAAGAUACAACCGAUGUAAAUUAAUUGAAUAUAUUUUAAAUUUCUUAUAAAGUAGGAAAAGACUUAAUAAUAUGAAGAAGGCUUAUAUUUAUAUUAU
This 245-nucleotide long non-coding RNA is filed under the name Physcomitrium patens. RNAcentral describes it as "long non-coding RNA (PPAT_LNC012411)". Lineage: Eukaryota; Viridiplantae; Streptophyta; Bryopsida; Funariales; Funariaceae. The record is from RNAcentral.